RNAcentral lists this unclassified non-coding RNA (229 nucleotides) under Glomeraceae sp. RNAcentral describes it as "partial contains 5.8S ribosomal RNA and internal transcribed spacer 2". The stretch from base 1 to 72 matches the Rfam family "5.8S ribosomal RNA", at positions 84 to 154 of the family's 154-position model. The record is from RNAcentral. Lineage: Eukaryota; Fungi; Glomeromycota; Glomeromycetes; Glomerales; Glomeraceae.
GUGAAUCAUCAAAUUUUUGAACGCAAAUUGCACUCUCCGGUUUUCCGGGAGAGUAUGCCUGUUUGAGGGUCAGCCUAAAAAAAAUCGACAUUGUUGCUGUUAUUUAAUGGUGACUUUCGUCGGAGAUUGGGUUAUCUUAAACCUUUUUUUUUUUAGUUUUACAUGAUUUAAAAUUUUAUUUAACGUUCCCAUGAACGUUUCAAAUAUUUUAUUUUUUAUUAGGUUUAAG